Molecule: ribosomal RNA, 495 nt
Filed under: uncultured bacterium
Lineage: Bacteria
Description: partial 16S ribosomal RNA
Rfam family: Bacterial small subunit ribosomal RNA
Source: RNAcentral
GAUGAACGCUGGCGGCGUGCCUAAUACAUGCAAGUAGAACGCUGAAGGAGGAGCUUGCUCUUCUGGAUGAGUUGCGAACGGGUGAGUAACGCGUAGGUAACCUGCCUGGUAGCGGGGGAUAACUAUUGGAAACGAUAGCUAAUACCGCAUGACAACAGUUAUUGCAUGAUAACUGUUUAAAAGGGGCAACUGCUCCACUACCAGAUGGACCUGCGUUGUAUUAGCUAGUUGGUGAGGUAACGGCUCACCAAGGCGACGAUACAUAGCCGACCUGAGAGGGUGGUCGGCCACACUGGGACUGGGACACGGCCCAGACUCCUACGGGAGGCAGCAGUAGGGAAUCGUCGGCAAUGGACGGAAGUCUGACCGAGCAACGCCGCGUGAGUGAAGAAGGUUUUCGGAUCGUAAAGCUCUGUUGUAAGAGAAGAACGAGUGUGAGAGUGGAAAGUUCACACUGUGACGGUAUCUUACCAGAAAGGGACGGCUAACUACGUG